This 107-nucleotide small nuclear RNA is filed under the name Neogale vison (American mink). The record is from RNAcentral. Lineage: Eukaryota; Metazoa; Chordata; Mammalia; Carnivora; Mustelidae.
GUGCUCUAUUCAGCAGCACAUAUACUAAAAGUAAAACAAUACAGAGAUGAUGAUCGUGGCCCCUGCACAGGGCUGAUAGGCAAACUCACUCAUUCAAGGAAAGAGUU